GUAGGGAAUCUUCCACAAUGGGCGCAAGCCUGAUGGAGCAACGCCGCGUGUGUGAUGAAGGGUUUCGGCUCGUAAAACACUGUUAUAAGAGAAGAACGACAUUGAGAGUAACUGUUCAGUGUGUGACGGUAUCUUAUCAGAAAGGAACGGCUAAAUACGUGCCAGCAGCCGCGGUAAUACGUAUGUUCCAAGCGUUAUCCGGAUUUAUUGGGCGUAAAGCGAGCGCAGACGGUUAUUUAAGUCUGAAGUGAAAGCCCUCAGCUCAACUGAGGAAGGGCUUUGGAAACUGGAUAACUUGAGUGCAGUAGAGGAAAGUGGAACUCCAUGUGUAGCGGUGAAAUGCGUAGAUAUAUGGAAGAACACCGGUGGCGAAAGCGGCUUUCUGGACUGUAACUGACGUUGAGGCUCGAAAGUGUGGGUAGCAAACAGGAUUAGAAACCCUAGUAGUCC
Molecule: ribosomal RNA, 450 nt
Filed under: uncultured bacterium
Lineage: Bacteria
Description: bacterial SSU rRNA
Rfam family: Bacterial small subunit ribosomal RNA
Source: RNAcentral